AGUGAACGCUGGCGGUAGGCCUAACACAUGCAAGUCGAACGGCAGCACAGUAAGAGCUUGCUCUUACGGGUGGCGAGUGGCGGACGGGUGAGGCAUACAUCGGAAUCUACUUUUUCGUGGGGGAUAACGUAGGGAAACUUACGCUAAUACCGCAUACGACCUACGGGUGAAAGCAGGGGAUCUUCGGACCUUUCGCGAUUGAAUGAGCCGAUGUCGGAUUAGCUAGUUGGCGGGGUAAAGGCCCACCAAGGCGACGAUCCGUAGCUGGUCUGAGAGGAUGAUCAGCCACACUGGAACUGAGACACGGUCCAGACUCCUACGGGAGGCAGCAGUGGGGAAUAUUGGACAAUGGGCGCAAGCCUGAUCCAGCCAUACCGCGUGGGUGAAGAAGGCCUUCGGGUUGUAAAGCCCUGUUGUUGGGAAAGAAAAGCAGCAGGUGAAUACCCCGCUGUUCUGACGGUACCCAAAGAAUAAGCAACGGCUAACUUCGUG
RNAcentral lists this ribosomal RNA (492 nucleotides) under uncultured bacterium. RNAcentral describes it as "partial 16S ribosomal RNA". It matches the Rfam family "Bacterial small subunit ribosomal RNA", at positions 29 to 507 of the family's 1533-position model. The record is from RNAcentral.